Molecule: ribosomal RNA, 994 nt
Filed under: Virgibacillus sp.
Lineage: Bacteria; Bacillati; Bacillota; Bacilli; Caryophanales; Bacillaceae
Description: bacterial SSU rRNA
Rfam family: Bacterial small subunit ribosomal RNA
Source: RNAcentral
ACUGCAGUCGAGCGCGGGAAGCAGGCAGAUCCUCUUCGGAGGUGACGCUUGUGGAACGAGCGGCGGACGGGUGAGUAACACGUGGGCAACCUGCCUGUAAGAUUGGGAUAACCCCGGGAAACCGGGGCUAAUACCGGAUAAUACUUUUCGUUGCAUAACGAGAAGUUGAAAGGCGGCUUUUAGCUGUCACUUACAGAUGGGCCCGCGGCGCAUUAGCUAGUUGGUAAGGUAACGGCUUACCAAGGCGACGAUGCGUAGCCGACCUGAGAGGGUGAUCGGCCACACUGGGACUGAGACACGGCCCAGACUCCUACGGGAGGCAGCAGUAGGGAAUCUUCCGCAAUGGACGAAAGUCUGACGGAGCAACGCCGCGUGAGUGAUGAAGGUUUUCGGAUCGUAAAACUCUGUUGUCAGGGAAGAACAAGUGCCGUUCAAAUAGGGCGGCACCUUGACGGUACCUGACCAGAAAGCCCCGGCUAACUACGUGCCAGCAGCCGCGGUAAUACGUAGGGGGCAAGCGUUGUCCGGAAUUAUUGGGCGUAAAGCGCGCGCAGGCGGUCCUUUAAGUCUGAUGUGAAAGCCCACGGCUUAACCGUGGAGGGCCAUUGGAAACUGGAGGACUUGAGUACAGAAGAGGAGAGUGGAAUUCCACGUGUAGCGGUGAAAUGCGUAGAGAUGUGGAGGAACACCAGUGGCGAAGGCGACUCUCUGGUCUGUAACUGACGCUGAGGUGCGAAAGCGUGGGGAGCGAACAGGAUUAGAUACCCUGGUAGUCCACGCCGUAAACGAUGAGUGCUAGGUGUUAGGGGGUUUCCGCCCCUUAGUGCUGAAGUUAACGCAUUAAGCACUCCGCCUGGGGAGUACGGCCGCAAGGCUGAAACUCAAAAGAAUUGACGGGGGCCCGCACAAGCGGUGGAGCAUGUGGUUUAAUUCGAAGCNCNGCGAAANCCUUACCAGGUCUUGACUCCUCUGCCAUCCUAGAGAUAGGAUGUCC